Molecule: ribosomal RNA, 404 nt
Filed under: uncultured bacterium
Lineage: Bacteria
Description: bacterial SSU rRNA
Rfam family: Bacterial small subunit ribosomal RNA
Source: RNAcentral
UGGGGAAUAUUGGACAAUGGGCGAAAGCCUGAUCCAGCCAUGCCGCGUGAGUGAUGAAGGCCCUAGGGUUGUAAAGCUCUUUCAACGGUGAAGAUAAUGACGGUAACCGUAGAAGAAGCCCCGGCUAACUUCGUGCCAGCAGCCGCGGUAAUACGAAGGGGGCUAGCGUUGUUCGGAAUUACUGGGCGUAAAGCGCACGUAGGCGGAUUGUUAAGUGAGGGGUGAAAUCCCGGGGCUCAACCCCGGAACUGCCUUUCAUACUGGCAAUCUCGAGUCCGAGAGAGGUGAGUGGAAUUCCGAGUGUAGAGGUGAAAUUCGUAGAUAUUCGGAGGAACACCAGUGGCGAAGGCGGCUCACUGGCUCGGUACUGACGCUGAGGUGCGAAAGCGUGGGGAGCAAACAGG